RNAcentral lists this transfer RNA (74 nucleotides) under Erythrotrichia carnea. RNAcentral describes it as "tRNA-Arg". It matches the Rfam family "tRNA". From Rfam's summary of the family: Transfer RNA (tRNA) molecules are approximately 80 nucleotides in length. RNAcentral also lists the same sequence under 7 other names. Lineage: Eukaryota; Rhodophyta; Compsopogonophyceae; Erythropeltidales; Erythrotrichiaceae. The record is from RNAcentral.
GGGCUUGUAGCUCAGUGGACUAGAGCACGUGGCUACGAACCACGGUGUCGGGGGUUCGAAUCCCUCCCUGCCCG